RNAcentral lists this long non-coding RNA (656 nucleotides) under Brachypodium distachyon (stiff brome). RNAcentral describes it as "long non-coding RNA (BDIS_LNC003757)". The record is from RNAcentral. Lineage: Eukaryota; Viridiplantae; Streptophyta; Magnoliopsida; Poales; Poaceae.
UGAUUUAGGGAGUUCCCAUAAUAGAGUUGUUACAGCCACAAAGAGAGGUAAUAUGCAAGGCACACAAGUUGAACCUGACCCAGAUGAUGAUGACCAAGAUUUAGUUCAGGAAAUUGUGAAGGUCGAGCCUGACCCAGAUGACAAUGAUGCCAUGCAUGUAGAUAUAGCAAUUGUGACAUCAGGGCCAUCAGGUAAUAUGCAAGGCACACAAGUUGAACCUGACCCAGAUGACAAUGGCAAAGAUUUAGUUAACGGAAUUGUGAAGGUGGAGCCUGACCCAGAUGACAAUGAUGCCAUGCAUGUGGAUGUAGCAAUUGUGACAUCAGGGACAUCAGGUUAUUCCGAGCCUGAUCCUGAUGAUGCUGGCGAGAAAAACUCUUUAAGUAGCCUAGAACCUGAUCCUGAUGAUUCCCCUGUUGUUGGCAUUCUUAACAAGGAGAUGAAGAUUGAUGUGAAGCAUUGCAAAGAACCUGAUCCUGAUGAUGGUGCUGGUGAAUUUGUCCUGGAUUCGGGAAACAAGAUGGAAGUGGAGAGGGAGCCGAGAGGUAACACGUCAGUUUUGAAGUCUGAACCUGAUCCUGAUGAUUCCUCAAAUGCUAUUCUGAACAAGAAGGUGAGCAUUGGCGACAAGCACAUGAGAGAACCUGAUCCUGAUG